AUAGUACUCCCUCCGUCCGGAAUUAUUUGUCGCGGGAAUGGAUGAAAAUAAAUGUAUCUAGAACUAAAUUAUGUCUAGAUACAUUCAUUUCUCCGACGAAUAUUUCCGGACGGAGGGAGUACAUG
Non-coding RNA from Triticum aestivum (bread wheat), 125 nucleotides. The record is from Rfam. NCBI's taxonomy places the organism in Eukaryota, Viridiplantae, Streptophyta, Magnoliopsida, Poales, Poaceae.